This 656-nucleotide ribosomal RNA is filed under the name uncultured Actinomycetes bacterium. RNAcentral describes it as "bacterial SSU rRNA". It matches the Rfam family "Bacterial small subunit ribosomal RNA", at positions 232 to 885 of the family's 1533-position model. Lineage: Bacteria; Bacillati; Actinomycetota; Actinomycetes. The record is from RNAcentral.
CGCGGCCUAUCAGCUUGUUGGUGGGGUAAUGGCCCACCAAGGCGAUUACGGGUAGCCGGCCUGAGAGGGUGACCGGCCACACUGGGACUGAGACACGGCCCAGACUCCUGCGGGAGGCAGCAGUGGGGAAUCUUGCGCAAUGGGCGAAAGCCUGACGCAGCGACGCCGCGUGGGGGAUGACGGCCUUCGGGUUGUAAACUCCUUUUACCACUCACGCAGGCUCCCAGUUCUCUGGGGGUUGACGGUAAGUGGGGAAUAAGGACCGGCUAACUACGUGCCAGCAGCCGCGGUAAUACGUAGGGUCCGAGCGUUGUCCGGAAUUAUUGGGCGUAAAGAGCUCGUAGGCGGCAUGUCACGUCUGCUGUGAAAGACCGGGGCUUAACUUCGGUUUUGCAGUGGAUACGGGCAUGCUAGAGGUAGGUAGGGGAGACUGGAAUUCCUGGUGUAGCGGUGGAAUGCGCAGAUAUCAGGAGGAACACCGGUGGCGAAGGCGGGUCUCUGGGCCUUACCUGACGCUGAGGAGCGAAAGCAUGGGUAGCGAACAGGAUUAGAUACCCUGGUAGUCCAUGCCGUAAACGAUGGGCGCUAGGUGUGGGGACUUUCCACGGUUUCCGCGCCGUAGCUAACGCAUUAAGCGCCCCGCCUGGGGAGUACGG